UACGCAGGGGGCUAGCGUUGCUCGGAAUCACUGGGCGUAAAGGGUGCGUAGGCGGGUCUUUAAGUCAGGGGUGAAAUCCUGGAGCUCAACUCCAGAACUGCCUUUGAUACUGAGGAUCUUGAGUUCGGGAGAGGUGAGUGGAACUGCGAGUGUAGAGGUGAAAUUCGUAGAUAUUCGCAAGAACACCAGUGGCGAAGGCGGCUCACUGGGUCUCUUCUGACGCUGAGGAACGAAAGCUAGGGGAGCAAACGGG
RNAcentral lists this ribosomal RNA (253 nucleotides) under uncultured bacterium. Its description in RNAcentral is "partial 16S ribosomal RNA". It matches the Rfam family "Bacterial small subunit ribosomal RNA", at positions 524 to 776 of the family's 1533-position model. The record is from RNAcentral.